UUUUUUUUUCCUUUUUUCUCUUUUGUUGACUCUUUUUCUCUUUGGGACUGAUCUGUCUUUAUUUUUCUUGACACUCUUCCUUUUUUUUGACAUACUUUCUCGUUUUCUGUUUUGGACUUUUGACUUCAUUUUUUUCUUGACACUCUUUUUUUAACUUUUUGAAUCCAUCUUGAUUCCAAAAGAGAGGUAUGAAAGAAAAUAGAACUAAAGCUCAAAUGAGGUAAACAAAGGAUGACACAAUACUUAGAUAGUAAAUGAAAUGCUUUCGUCAUAUCAAUCCUUGAAGAUGCUAGUACAUAGCAUAUAAUGUGAAAGUGCAUGACCAGUAUCACUUAUGACAUGUUUUGCAACACUAACUUUCCCUGAGCAUGUGUGUCCCUUCUUCUUCUACACUUGUCAAAAUACAACUCCACAUUUGUUGUACAUCUCUCACAUUGAAUGACUCAUGCUUUCGUGAAGUUGAUUUUUCUGUUUCUCUAGAUCGCACAUCCUCUAUUUGACCUAAUUGAGCUAUGUUUUACAAUUGAUGACCAAGUUAUUCUUGUGCUUCUCAAAAUAAUUGCCUGAAUUUUCAAAGAAGGCUUGAACUUGUCUCCAAAUGUCUCAGCACUCUACGUAUUUUCUCAGAUGCUCUUUUUUUUUUAUAUAACUUUAACCCUCUGAUUCAAUGUUCAUGCUUAAAUUAAAUUUUAAGAUCUGGCUGAAAAUUCCACUAGCAUGUCAUAUCACUAGAAUUAACCUAAAAUGUACUGUGUAAAGAAAACAAACAAACAACACAUAUUUAAAAUACAAAAAAAAGGACACUUCAUUUAAUUAAAAUAAAAGAUAGAAGGGUUUGAACAUAACGACAAAUGGACAAAACAAGAUAGAUCCCAAAAUAUAACCCCAAAAUAAUUCAGAUAACAGAAAAUAAAACAAAACAAACUACCAGACCUAUUCCUAGUAGGGCGAGGGGUGACUUCUCAAUUACUCAGCCUGACAUCUUAGCCACUGUUUUGCAUAUCAGCAUGACUAGAGUUUUCCUCACUGUCAAUGUUCUGCACCAUAAUCAAUUUGUCUUGAAUCAUCUUUUUAAUUUCUCUUUUUAAAGAAUGACAAUCUUCAAUACUGUGACCCUGAACAUCAGAAUAAUAUGCAUAUCGUACAUAAGGAUCAAAACUUCUUGAAUAUGGGUCAGGAGUAUACCCAAGGAGAGGAGUGAUCAUGCCUUGCUGUGCCAAUCUCUGAAAUUAAUUAGCAUACGACUCUCCAAUUGGUGUAGAACCAUCCCUCAAUUUCUGCCUCAUUUCAUUGUUUAACUUGGAUCAAACAUCGGGCCUAGAAAGGCUUUGGUAUGUCUAUGGAAUUGAAGAAUGACUUUAAGGAGUUGGUGCGCGCCAUUGUGGGUAAGCAGGGAGUUGAACAUAUGGUUGUGUGCAAUAGACUAGAUAUGGAGGUGAGGAAACAGAGUAUAAUGGAUUUUGGGAGUGAUUAUGGAGAUCUUGGGUAUGAACUUGGGUUUGAGACUGAUGGCAACGAUGACAUCGUCUUUUUGGAUGUGCCCGUUCUCUAACUACAAUAGUAGUGUCAUCUUUCUCAUUCUUCUUCCCUCCAGGUUCCCUUAAUUGAUGCAAUAUUGUCUCAAAUGUUUCACGAAUUCCUCAUGCCCAUCUUGCUCCUUAAAUUUCAAUAUCUCAAAGAUUGGAGGAAGGUUAGCACUUGAAGGCAUGCCCCAGUCUUUGUAUGGAACAUCUUCUUUACCCGCACGUCCUAGAGAAUUUUUCAUAGCAUUUUCUGCACUCUUCAUUUUUCCAACCACUUUUUCCGACUCUUCUGGCACACUGGACUUUUUGUGAAUAAAUUUUGGUGGUCUAGUUAACUUAAAAGCAGGCUCAGGAGUAUAACAAUGAUCACCAAGAGUAUUGAAUAUAUGUUUACUAGCAGCAUGGGGACGCACAACCGUUGGGCGAGCCAGUGUGGAAGUCCCAGUAGAGGAUUGAGCAAUAAGAUCACAAACGACAUAUGGUGUUGUGAAUAUAGCAGGCUUAUGCUGAGGAGCUAGAGAGAAAGUGGUGGAAGUAUUGAAAUGCUUUUGGCUUAGAAUGAAUUCUGAGUCAUGUUGCAGUGCAUCAAUAACAGUAGGAAAUUGACUUUGAAAUUUUGGUGGAAAACUCGAGGUAUUUGUAGGAUCAACCCACUGGCCCAAGCUCGAUGCAUUUAUGUCAUUUGUUGUCUUAGUCUCCUAAUCUCUUGCUUCAAACUCUCAUUUUUCUAAUUCUUUGUUUGAUCCAUGAUGUCACUCUCUAUAUCUUUGUUGGACACAACUAACCCUUUGGAUUUAGUGUGAUGUGAAGGACCAGCCAGAAUGCUACAAACCAAUCACCUUAAACUUACUCAACAAAAAAAUAACAAAUGUGUUAGAGUUCAACACUUUUUUAAAAUCUCUUUUUCUUUUUCUUUUUUUUUUUAAAAAAGAUAAGAUCAUCAAACUCAAGAAGGGCGCCUACGUAUCUCACUCCCGAGAGAGAAGAAUCAGGUGUGCGUAGUUCGUGAAGUCUUGCCAAAAUGGCCAGUUAAACUCUUUUUCUAUUCCUUGAAACUUUAAGAAGAAAAGAAAAUAACAAUUUGUCAAAAGAAUUGACGAAAAUCUUAUUGAAUUUUUCAGCUUUAACAUCUCUAUACAAAAAGAAAUUUAUAAUUACCAAAGAAAAAUCUUUUUUGGGUUUUCAGUUUUGAAUUUCAUAUGAAAAUGAAACUUGAACCUAUUAAAGGAAAAUCUUUUUGCAGUUUUCUUUUAAAGAGUAUAUGAAACACUUACUCUAAAUAAAGAAUGAAGAAAAUCUUUUUGAAUUUUUCAAAUAAGAUCUCCGAACCAACAAUAGGCUGCCUACGUAUCUCACUCCCGAAAGAGGAGAAUUAGGGGUGCGUAGUUCAUCCAAAUUGGACAAUUAAGAAUUAUAGAACAAACAAAACCUUGACUUGAGAGACACGACUGCACGAUGAAAAUAAAAUCUUUUUGGAUUUUUAAUUUGACACUUCAUACAAAAAUGACACCAACAACUAUGAAAGAAAAAUCUUUUUUUUGAAAUUUUUGAAUUAUGGAUGCAUGAUAAAAGAAUAAAAGAAAAAUCUUUUUGAUGUUUUUGAGAAAAAUGAGUGUGAAAGGUAAAAAAAAUCUUUUUGAAUUUUUGGAUUGUGAAAGAAAAUCAAAAGUCAUAAAGAACUCUAAAAACAUACGAAACACUCUUUUUUUCUUUUCAACUCGCUUUUUUUCUAUUUUUUUUAACAUUUCUUACCUACGCACCUUACUUCUAACACAUGCUUUCCCCAAAUUAGUUUGUCAAAUGACCACAUUACCCUCAAAGAUGCAAUAUUUAGCACGUAGGGAUGCUUUUAGAGGUAAAUCUCCUAUAAAGGGCCACAUGGGUCCCGCCAGGUCUCAAUAUGAUGUAAAUAAACAUGACCUAAAGGCUGACCUACGUUGGGGUCCACUAACAAGGCUGUUCGAGGGAGCGUAUGGUCGAUAGUGGCCUGCUUUAGCUAGCCACCUACUCCAUACAACCCAACGGCUUCCCCCCUAAAAUAAGGGUGACUCAACUACAAGUCGUAUACACACGUGUACUACGAACUUGUUGAAGAAAGAAUGACUCGGGUUAUGCACAUGAUGCCAGAUAUAAAACGGUAAUUCAUAAAGUAAAAACUGUAAACAAAGAGCACGUAGACACUCAACAAUGAUAAACAAUAACACAAAACAACACAAACAAAAUAUCUAUACAUCUAUAGUGCCAAAUUAAGCCGAUACAACUCCAAAAUAAGCUUGAAUUCUAAAAAUUUCCCCAGUGGAGUCGCCAGAGCUGUCACGCCCAUUUUUUUUAACUCCAAAAAGAUUGAUUUUAACGUUUGAAAGGGUUUUUAUUAUUAAAGUGACAAAAAGAUGAAAAUUUUUGGUCCGAAAAGGAUCUUUUAUAAUUAAAUUCAGAGUCACCACUUGACAUAGAUUGGGUGUGUCAAGUCACCUUUGGAAAUCCUUUGUCAAAAUAAUUUGACUCUAAACUGAUCCGCGAAUAAAGAUUCCAGCUAAGGAAUUCUGUUGACCGAGGGGAAGGUAUUAGGCACCCCUCGGUCCCGUGGUUAGACCACAGUCGCUCAGUGAAGUAUAUCGGCUAAUUUGGUACUACAUAUAUAUAAACCACACAAAAGCACACAACAAUUAACCAAACAAACACAAACAAAAUAAAUUCUGAAAUAUAAUAUCCAGUCCAAUUAUACAGUCCCAAAAUAGAAAAAAAUGAAAAAAAAUAUAAAUCCUAUUCGAAACUAGUCCUAAACUAAACUCCACCUGAUGUUACUGGCCUUGAUCGUGCGUCAUCUUCAAGUACAACUUUCUCGUGGCAUUCUCCGGAUAAAGCAAUACAGAUACCUCGGGGAAUUCCCCGGCCAAAUAAGUAUAAUUGAGUUAAAUGCGAUAAUACCAAGUCAUUCAACACAUAUUUCAAACGUUCCAUCAAUUCUCAAUCCCUAAAUUUACCUACCCGAGCCUACUAGUUGCCUACCCAGCUCGACUUAUCAUGGUAGUGUUGUGUUCGACAAAAUUAACAUCAUCACCUAUUUCGAAGUAAACCAACAUCAAUGAAUCAAAAUUAUCAAAAUUCAACUUUACCAAUUUUUUAUUCUCGCCCCAAUUCACUCUUCAACCCAUGAUUAACUCAUUUCAAUACGCUAUCCCUCAAUCGAGAAUAACAAAUAUUCACCGAUCAUGCAUAGCAACAACAAACACUUAAAUGUCACCAACAAUUCAUAUCAACAAACAAAACAAUGGUAUCGAAUCACACGUUCACAAUCAUACAGGAAUUAAAAAGGAAGAGAAGAAAGAAUUGGACCUCAAUGUCGCUUUCAAGUAUUAUUCAAUUAAACGAGAUGAAAUUUUCACCGAAAACCUCAAACCGAACCUCAACUUUCGACCUCGAAUUUAAAACUCAACUCAGAAUAAAAAACCCAGUCUAAAUUUAAUAAAAAAUCUGUGACAAAAUCGAGUAUGACUCCAAUCGACCUUUCGAUUUCUGACCAUAAUCAGUAACUACAACCGAUCGGAAACUCGGGCAGCGGAGUGUACCCUUUUUCUGGCGAAGUAUUCGCUAGAAUUUUCAGAAAAAUGGCCCGUGCGGCUGCAACAACUAAUUUGUGGUUAGAUGUCGGAUGUUACCGAUGGCUAUGGUUGUUGGGUUUGUUGACUUUGCUAUUUCCGGCAAGGGGUGGGUUGUCUGGGCAGCUUGACGGUAGAGAUGGCGAUUCCGGCGAAAGCUACGUCGGAGAAAAAGCUAUUUUUUUCUAUUUUCGCUCAACUCUGUUUCUCUCUCUCUCUGUCCUUCUCUCAAAUCCAAUCUCUUUUACUCGUUUUCCUCAACUCACUAGUGUGUGUGCGUGAAUCUCGUGAAUCAGUAGUGUGUGUUCUUGGUGCUUUGUGUGUGAUGCCAACAAAGAAAAAUAACGUGUAUCUGUAUGUCAAUGUCCUUUUUUUGGUAGAAGAAAAGGGAGAAAAAAAUGGAAUCCCCUGGAAGCUGAUGGUAUGCCCCUUUUAGAGUGAUAUGUGGGCCCCUCCUCUUUUUUUGUAUCUUUUUUCUGAAUCAUUUGUUUUUGUAUUGUUGAAAUGGCGAAAACGUGUAAGGCAUGGGGUAUGGGGUAUAAGGGUAGUUAGAGAAAGGUUGUUAGGAGUAGGUGAUUAGGAUAAAGUUUGUUAGGAUAAGGUUAGGGAUUUAUUGAAUUUUUUUUAUUUUUGUAUUUUUGUGGGGUAUAAUUACAUGUGUGAGGGUACACGGUAGGAUAAUGUAAAAAUGUGUAAAAACGAUAUCGGGGAAGGACGAAAUUAGGUGUCUACAGUAUUAAUUAAUGUGUAUUAUGAAUACCUUAUUUGGUAUAAUUUUUGGUCAAUGUAUAACUAAUGCAAGCAUUAGUUAUACACUCUAUUGUAUAUUAAGGUGUGUGUUACUAAUACCACUCAUUUUCUAUGUAUUAGUAAUGCAAAGUCUUUAAUACAUGCAUUAACUUAUUAAAUGACCCUAAUACCCCUCAAUUUUCUUCUCAAAAUAUUUCAUUAUUCCUUUUCCCGCCAUUUUAAUUUGCAAUAGUGAAUCUUUUCAAAACAUUUCACAAUUUUUUUCCACCAUUUUAAUCUACAACAAUGAAUAAUUGAUUUAAAUAAUUAUAACAUAUUUUUGCUUUGCUUCUAGAGUCUUUAAAAAGAUUUAAAAAAAUUGAGAGUAUUUAUUAAUUUUACGUCUUAUAUUUUAUUGUUGUUUCGUCUAUGUUAAUCCGUUGGCAUAAUAUUUCAUGCGUAAAUACGAAGGUCUUGCAAUUAAUCGGAAACCUCUAUAUACUAGUUCAACAAUACUAAUUAUAUUUGAGAUGACAAAAAAAAUUAUUGCAACAAAGUGUACAAAAUUAAAGAAGGGUAUUUCUGUAAACAAACAUUUUUUAUAGAAAUUAUGUAAGAUGUAUUAUUUCUUAUACAUCAAAUCAAACAAUGCAGAAGAAAUAAUUCAUGCAUAACUAAUACAAGCAUAAAUAAUACAAGCAUUACUAAUACAUUAUAUUUUGCAUUGAUCUUAUACACUCUACCAAACAACCUCUAAAUGCUUUAGUUUUAAACACACCUCUCAGAAUUGCCUUCUCAUCUUCUUAAGGCAUUUUGAGUAUUCUCUCUCUUUUGUAAUAUUUCAAUUGUAUUUUUGGAGUGGAAUAAAUUUUGUCAGUUGUGUUCGAGGACGUAGGUAAAAAAAAUAUUUUUACCAAACCUCGUAAAUUUAAUGUUCUUUUUAUUUUUUUUCUUUUACUAUUUUUAGCGGCUUUUAUUUUGGGAUAGUAGUUGUGCAAUAAUCACACUCUACCCAGUCCGCUUCCGUAACAAUUGGUAUCAGAGUUAGGAUUCUGUCUGAGUAUGCUCUGCAACAUAGCCUGAUCUUCCACAUCAGAAAAGACUUUUUCUUGGGUUUGUAUUGUCAAGAUUUUUUUUUAGUCUGCUCUGUGGUUGCAGCGUAGUCUGAUCUUCCAAACCAGAAAAGAAUUAUCUUAGUUUGUGUGUAGCCAGCUAUUAAAUAGUAUUUAUAGCACAAAAUGGGAGAGGGAAAUCAAGAAGUAUCCAGAUCGGACAUGACAUAGGUGUCCACAUCAGGUGUCAAUAACAUGUCGUUGGUAUCUUCGCUUAUGUCAAGAAUUCAGACAAAUGCGAAUUUUUCAGUUGAAAUAUUUAACGGAAUAGGACACUUUGUGAUGUGUAAAUGCGAGGUCGAAGAUGUCCUUUUUCAACAAGGAUUAGAUCUUGCCCUAGAAGAAGAGAAACCAGAAAAUAUUAAAGAUGCAGAUUGAAAAUAAAUCAAUCAUGUUGCUUGUGGUACCAUUCGGUCCUUCCUUGGAAGAGAACAGAAGUAUCCAUUCACAAAGAAAACUUCUGCAAGUAAAUUGUGGAGGGCAUUGGAGGAUAAAUUUUUGAAGAAAAAUAUUCAGAAUAAACUUUUUAUGAAGAAAAAAAUAUUUCACUUCAUCUAUGUUCCUAGUACCACAAUAAAUGAUUACAUCACCAAUUUUAAUAAAUUAGUUACAGAUUUGCAAAUAUUGGAUGUAACUUUUAUCGAUGGUGAUCUAGCGUUGAUGUUGUUGGGGUCACUUCCCGAUGAGUAAGAGCACCUUGAAACUACUUUACUUCAUGGGAGGGAUGAAAUUUCUAUGAAAGAAGUUUAUUCAGCUUUGUACAGCUAUGAACAACGAAAGAAAGAGAAACAAAAGAGCAUAAAAGGAGAAGCACUAGCAAUGCGAGGCCGUUCUCAAAAUCAAACGAAAACAAAGAAGGAAAGAUCCAAGUCAAGGUCCAGACUUAGCAAAGAUGAAUGCACCUUUUAUUUAAGGAAAAGGGCACUGGAAGAAUGACUGUUCAAAAUUGAAGAAUAAGGCCAAGCCUAACAAAGGGAAGGCUAUAAUGGAUUCAAAUGUAGCUAAUUGUGACGACUCAAAUUUCUCACUGGUUACUGCAGAGUCAUCAAAACCAUCAGAUGUAUGGCUGAUGGACUUGGCUUAUAGCUAUCAUACGUGUCCCAAUUGGGACUGGUUUAUUGAUUUUCAAGAAAGAGAAUUUGGAGUUAUCCACACUGCAAACAACAGCUCUCUUACCGCAAAUGACAUUGGUUCAAUACGUUUGAGGAACCAUGAUAGAAUGAUCAGAACACUAACAGAUGUUCGAUAUGUAUCGAAUUUAAAGAAGAAUCUCAUUUCUGUGGGAACCCUUGAUUCAAAAGGGCACAAAGUUAUUGCAAAAAAUGGAUUGAUGAAGAUAUACUCCAAUGCACUUGUGGUAAUUAAGGCUAUUUGGAGGAACAAUAAUUUGUACCAUUAUCAUGACACUACAAUUAUUCAGACAACAACAGUAACAUCCACUGUUGACAAAGAGGCAGAAGCAACCAGGCUAUGGCAUAUGCGUUUGGCAUACGCCAGAGGCAAAUCCUUGAAAAUUCUAUCAGAUCAAAGACUGUUAAAGGGCGUUAAAUCUGGAAACUUGGAAUUUUGUGAACAUUGUGUGAAGGGAAAGCAAACAAGGUUUAAAUUUGGUACAGCUAUCCAUAAUACUGGAGGCAUUUUGGAUUAUGUACAUUCUGAUGUUUGGGGUGCUUCCAAAACACCUUCAUUAGAUGGGAAACACUAUUUUGUAACCUUUGUUGAUGACUUUUCUCGAAAAUUAUAGGUGUAUACCAUGAAAACAAAAUACGAAGUGUUGGGAAUUUUUGUCAAAUGGAAUACGAUGAUAAAAAAUCAAACAGGCAGAAAGAUCAAGUGUGUACAGAGAUAAUGGAGGUGAAUACAAGAAUGAUCUUUUCAAUAAGGUCUGUGAAGAUAAUGGCAUCGUUAGACACUUCACUGUCAGACAUACACCACAACAAAAUAGAGUGGCAGAACGCAUGAAUCAAACUUUACUGGAGAAGGUGCGGUGUAUGUUGUCCAAUGCUGGCUUGGGCAAAGAAUUCUAGGCUGAGGCAAUAACAUAUGUGUGCCACAUUAUUAAUCGUCUACCAUCUGAUGUAAUUGGUGGGAAAACACCAUUUGAAAAAUGGUAUGGAAAAUCUGUUGUGGAUUACGAUUCUUUACAUGUAUUUGGCUCAACUGCAUACUAUCAUGUGAAAGAGUCAAAAUUGGAUCCAAGAGCUAAGAAGGCUAUCUUUAUGGGAAUUACUUCUGGAGUCAAAGGAUAUUACCUAUGGUAUCCUGAGACAAGAAAAGUAAUAUUUAGCAGAGAUGUUACUUUUGAUGAAUUCGCAAUGAUAAAAAAGGAUGCAGAUAAAGAUACAAAAGUAAAUGAUAGUACUUCAAGGCAGGUGGAGUUUGAGGGAAAAUUUAUUUUUCCUUCACAAAAAGCAGAUGAAGAAACAAAUGAUAAUUUAGAAGCAGAGUCAGUUCAGACAGAGGUUCCAACUCAAGAACCUGAACAACAACUUGAGUCAAUAGCAACCCAGAAACCCAAAAGAAUAAUAAAAAAGCCUAUGCAUCUCGUAGAGACGAUGACAUGUGCAACCUCAAUCAUAAUUGACAGUAUUCCUACCACUUAUAAAGAAGCUAUCCAAAGUUGUGAAGAAAAUAAGUGAAAGGUUGCAAUGAAUGAGGAAAUGAAGUCCCUUCAUCAAAAUAAUACGUGGAAUCUGGCCAACCUCCCGAACGGCAAGAAAACUAUUGGGUGCAAGUGGGUAUAUACAAAGAAAGAAGGAUUUCCCGACCGAAAUGAUGUUUGCUACAAAGCAAGAUUGGUGGCCAAGGGAUAUGCUCAGAAGGAAGUAAUUAAUUACAAUGAAGUGUUUUCUCCAGUUAUAAAACAUUUUUUCAUUAGAAUUAUGUUGGUUUUGGUAGCACAGUUAGAUUUGGAACUAGUUCAGAUGGAUGUAAAAACAACAUUUUUACAUGGUGAUUUGGAGGAGGAAAUCUACAUGACUCAGCCUGAAGGAUUCAUAGUUGCAGGAAAAGAAAACAUGGUGUGCAAACUUGAAAAAUCAUUGUACAGAUUGAAACAGUUUCCUAGACAAUGGUACAAAAGAUUUGACAAGUUUAUAUUGCGCAGAAGUACGUGAGAAGCAAAUACGAUCAUUGUGUGUAUUUGCGCAAGCUUAAGAAUAGUUCCUUUAUAUACCUUCUCAUUUACGUUGAUGAUAUGUUGAUAGCUUCCAAGAAUUUAGCAGAAAUUGAGAAGCUGAAGGCUCAACUAAGUAAGAAGUUUGAGAUGAAGGAUUUGGGAGAUACGAAUAAGAUCUUGGCAUGGAGAUAACAAGGGAUAGACAUUCAAAGAAACUUUCUGUAUCUCAUAAAGAAUACUUGAAGAGGGUGCUAGAUCGAUUUGGUAUGGAUGAAAAAACAAAACCAGUUAGCACUCCAUUGGCUCCCCAUUUUAAGCCCAGUGCUGAUAUGUCGCCAAAGAAUGAAGUAGAAAGAGAAUAUAUGUCAAGGGUACCAUAUGCAAGUGUUGUUGGUAGCUUGAUGUAUGCAAUGGUUUGCAUAAGACCUGACAUUUCACAUAUUGUUGGGAUUGUGAGUAGACAUAUGCAUAAUCCAGGAAGAGAACAUUGGCAAGCUGUGAAAUGAAUUUUGCGGUAUAUUCAUAAUACUGUGGAUGUUGGCUUAGUUUUUUAGCAGGAAGAAAAUUUGUUUGUAGUUGGAUAUUGUGACUUUGAUUAUGCAGGUGAUCCGGAUAAACGAAGGUAAACUACUGGUUAUGUUUUUACUUUUGUAAAAACACCAGUUAGUUGGAAGUCUACUUUACAGUCAACAGUUGCUUUGUUUACAACUGAGGCAGAGUACAUGGCUAUUACAAAGGUUGUGAAGGAUGUUAUUUGGCUUCAAGGAUUGCUUAAGAACUUGGUAUCAGAUAAGAAACUAUUACAAUAUUUUGUGAUAGUCAAAGUGUUAUUCAAUUAGAAAAAAAAACAAGUCUAUCAUGCAAGAACAAAGCACAUUGAUGUUUGGUAUCACUUCAUAUGAGAAAUAAUAGAAGAAGGUGGAGUCACAGUGCAUAAAAUCAAGGCUACAGAGAAUCCUGCUGAUAUGCUAACUAAAGUAGUGACUGCGAUCAAGUUUGGACAUUGUUUGGACUUGAUCAACAUUGUUGAACAUUGAAGUUCAAAAGUUGAAGACAUAAUUGAAAUUUUUCAUGAGAGAGAAUUAGAGAUGUGGGAUAUCCCAAGGUGGAGAUUUGUUGAAAGUGGGAUAUAUCCCACAUCGAUUGUGGGAAGAAAAUGGGAGGGUCUUCCUCCCUAUAAAAGGAACCUAAAUAUUUUAGUUUUAAACACACCUCUCACAAUAGCCUUCUCAUCUUCUUAAGGCAUUUUGAGUAUUGUCUCACUUUUGUAAUAUUUCACUUUUAUUUUUGGAGUAAAAUAAAAUUUGAUCAGUUGUGUCCGAUAACGGAGGUAAAAAUAAUAUUUUAACCGAACCUCAUAAAUUAAGUGUUCUUUUUAUUUUUCCUCUUUUACUAUUUUUUAGCGGCUUUUAUUUUGGGUUAGUAGUUGUGCAAUAAUCACACUCUACCCAGUCCGUUUCCGCAACAUAUAGAAGGCAUUAACAAUCAAAAAAAUUUAAACAAUUAAAUUGAAUUUAUAGGCUUAACAAUUGGUUCGUGUUACAUUAUAUGUAGCUAAAGAAAAUCAUAAUUCAUUACUACUAUUUACAAUUUAAUUUUUUAUCGAUAACUCAUGUUUAUUUAAUAAUGAGACAACUUAUUUAGUGUAUUUUUUUAUUUUCUAGUCUUUCAUCCUUGUUAUGUUAAAUUCAUAUCUACUAUUUUGACAUUUAACAUGCUACUAUAAUCGAUUUGGCUUUAUCUAUUAUUUCCUUCACCACUUAUACAUAUUUAAAAGUUUUAUCAAUAUAAAAGAUAAAUGUAUAUAAUUUUUUUAUAUAUAUUAGCUCAUUUUAAAUUUUUAAAAACUAACGUAAUUAUAGUUUAUAUUUUAUGAUAAUACCAUACGAAAUAUUCUAGUUUGACUCUUUUGAUCUUAUCUCUUUUUGAAUAUUUUUAAUUUUUCUCGUAUCAUGUAAAAGUGUUGUUCUUUUUUUUUAUUUAUGUGGAAGUUUUAUAUUGAUGAUAUAAAUUUAUGUAUGUAUUUAGAUAUAAAUUGAAUCUAAAUUUAACUUACUAAAAUAUGAUAAUUUAUAUAUAUAUAUAUAUAUAUAUAUCUUAAAUCUAAAAGAAAGUAAAAAUGGUCGAGGUUAAAAAUCUCAUGUCCUAAAGAAAUAUUCAAGACUUAAUAAGAAGUGAAUUAAAAAGGGGAGGAGAUGCACCUUUGAUUUUUCUGGCUACUUGAUUCGACGGCCACAUGCUUUUUUUGUUCAAUUUUUCGAUCAAAAGUUUCUCAACUGAAAGAGAAACAUGAAAAAUUAUCAGAAGAGAGAAUUCAUUGUCAAAUUGUUGAAUAUGUAUAACACAUAAAAAAUCUUAAAGUUUAUUAACUAAAAGAAAUAAAGAAAGACAAAGGACGAUGAUUAUGAAUGCAAAAAUACACUUGAAUCAAAGGAAAAUUAAGAAGAAAACAAUCAUAGAAGUAAAAGAAGCAUGUUUCUUGUAAUGUUUUUUUCUAAAAUAUUACUUAAAUUGAAUUGUAUAAAUCCUUUUUUCAUAUAAGGUGAAAUUCUAAUCCAUUCAGAAGUGUUAAAUAUUAUGGUAUCAAAUUAUUUAUGAUAGUGUUAUUUUUAUUACUAAGCAAAUUAUUUAAAAAUUAAUUCUGGGAUCAAGUUAUUUAUGCCAGUAUUUUGUUCCCUUACUAUAUAAAUUACGUAAUUCAUAAAAAUAUUCUAACAAUAACAAUUUAAUAUAAUACUUAAAUAAUAAAAAUCCUCAAACCUAGCAUAAGUAGUACACGUGAAAUCAUGAGUUUUGCAAUAAAAACUUCCUAUUUUUUAGGUGUUAGUUUUCUUUUAUAAAUUUAAUUAUGUCAUAUAGUUCAAAUAAGGAAGGAUUUAUUACAAAAAUUUUAGUUAAUUUAAAAUUUUUAAAUAUUAAAAAAGUAGUAAAAAGAUAAUUUUGCCUAUUACAAAGACUUUUAAUGAAGGGCAAAAGGUUCAAAUCACUUUUGAAAGGGUCUUCACACUUUUAAUAUAUUAUAGAUAUAGAUUAUAGAUUAUUAUAGAUAUUUUAAAAAUUUAAUGAUUUUUGUGUUAAAACUGAUAGUUAAGUGAAUUUAGUUAGAAAAAAGUGAUAGCUAUAUGACCAUGUGUGAAAUUUAUUCAUGAAGUUUGCUCAAACCUUAUAGGAAGUUUAAAAAUGAAAAAAUUAGAUAUAUACACAAGGUAACUAUUAAUUAUUACAUAAAAUUUCUAUUUUAAAAAAUAAUUACAAAAAUUUCAUAUUGAUUACAUAAAAUUCCUUCCUUUUAGUCUGUCUCUCUCUUCAACCUCAUACAUUCCAGAACUCCUGUAUUGUGCUCCAUAUUUGUUCGCCUUUUUCUCCAUUAUUGUACUCCUUAUUUCACUACUAAAAAAAAGAGGGAAAACCGAUCACAAGUGGUCAGUUUUUCCCAUUUUUCGACCACAAAACAGACCAAAAUUUUUUAUCGGAAAAGUAACGGUUGCUUUUUAAAAACCGACCACGUGUGGUCGAUUUUUUAAAAAAUAUAUAUUCAUUUUUAAAAUUCAUUAUCAUUUUAUUUAAAUUAAAAAAAAAUAGGAAAAAAAAAACGACCACAAGUGGACGGUUUUUUAUGAAAUUAAUUAAUUAAUUUAUAAAAAAAUCAACCACAUGUGGUCGGUUUGUAAUUGAAUUAAUUAAUUAAUUUAUAUAAAAAGGGACCACAUGUGGUAGGUUUUUCUUAAAAAUUUUCAGAAGAAAAGAGGCCACAUGUGGUCGGUUUUUUGUAAAAAAAAAUUAAAAAAGGGACCACAUGUGGUCGGUUUAUUGUAAAAAAUUUCAAAAAACACGACCACUUGUGGUCGAUUUUUUUGAUAAUUUUGUAAAAAAAAAUAUUGAAAAUUUCCAAAAUACAAACAUUAAAAAUCAAAUUAUUUACAAUACAGCCCACCAAUCAUUUACAAAUAUUGAAAAUCAAAUCAAAUUAUAUAUAAUACAGCCCACCAACCAUAUAAUAUACAAUCAACCAACCACCAUAAGAAUACAAACAUUAAAAAUUAAAUUAUUUACAAAAUUUAUUGAGGUUACAAAUCCAAACUAUAAAACAUACAAAAGACUAAAAACUACAACUCAUCAUCUACAUCUUCAUUCUCAGCCUCACCCAUUCUAUUAUCAAUAUUUUGUUGAUAUAUUCAGCUAUAAUCAAGUUCCAUCUACACAAUCAAUCACAUUCAAAUAAUUAGUUCAAGUCGCAAAAGUUCACAUUUUAAAUACCUACACCUAAAUAUUUUCAAGUCACUAAUUCACUUAACAAGUUACCAAACUAAACUUAAUUCAAAAUGAAAAAUUCACGUUUCAAGUACCUACACUUAAACAUUUUGAAGUAACUAAUUCACUUGUGAAGUGACCACAGUUUACUAAAAUCAAAGCGCAAGUUCACAUUUCAAGUACCUAAAUUCAAAACAAAAGUCACUAAUAUAUAAUUCAAGUACCUAAACAUUUUCAAGUUACCAACCUAAACUAAAUUCAAAAUGAAAAGUUCACAUUUCAAGUACCUACACCUAAACAUUUUCAAGUCACUUCACAAGUUACCAAACUAAACUAAAUUCAAAAUGAAAAGUUCACAUUUCUAAGUCACUAAUUCACUUCACAAGUUACCUACACUUAAACAUUUUGAAGUCACUAACUCGCUUCUCGAGUGUCCACACUUAACUAUAUUCAAAACACUAGUCCACCUUUCAAGUAACUACACUUAAAACAUUUUCGACUCACUAAUGUACUUCUCUAGUGACCAUACCUAAUUAAAUUCAAAACACAAGUUCACAUUUCAAGUACCUACACUUAAAUAUUUUCAAGUAACUACACUUAAAACAUUUUCGACUCACUAACUCACUUCACUUUUUUAAUUAAACCAUAAUCUACCUCAACCGAAGAAUCCAAGAUAACCAAGCUAAUUCGCAAAAGCCUUUCCUUUCUUAUAGACCAAACCUCAUGUAUUCUUUUAAAUUCCAAGUCUAAGUCUAAGGCUUAAUCUUCUUUCAAUUCUUAAAUCUCACAAUAUUUGUACCAUAUAAUGUAUUUAUUAUUUAAGUGCAUAUACCAUAUCGAAACUGAAAUUACAACAGAAAGAUUAUAAGAAAAAUACUAAACUAAAGUUGAAGUUGUGCAAAUCUGCACCAACCCAAGAGAAAAACACCAUUAACUAGAGCAUAUAAGUUUUAAUUACUCAUACUACCUGAAUCUAUUAAUAAUUUCCAAUGAUUACCACACUUGCCAACUUUUACACCUAAUUAACCUAACUCUCCACUCAAAUCAAUACACCAACACGUCCAGCAACAUGACUACUCUUAUAACUAGACACAUAAUUAGCCUAACAUUCUGUUAACAAACAGUCCAUAUGCAUAUCAAGGAACACCCGUUAUCAAAGUAACAGUACAAAGACACAAAGAUGGGCAAAUUCGCAGCAUAUCAACAGGAUAAAUCUACUAACUCAAUCAACUAGAUUAGAUUUUCAAAAUUAAAGUUAUAAGCUGCAUGCCUAAAAUUUCAUAAAAAAUGCAUUUUCACGAAUGAUAUUUUAAGCAAAACACAAACGCUAAUCACAAGAAAUCGCAUAAGAUCUUAAUCGAGUCUUAUCAAUUUAAGGUCUAUGAAUCUGUCAAAAGAGAAGGAAAAGGGGAGUAGAAGAAAAUCAACAUUGUACAUUCGAAAUCAAACCUAAAAUGGAUUCUUAAGAAUCCAUUAUUUUCUGACGAGCGAGGAGGCUGAUACUGUUGUUGUGGUGAGGGGGUUCGCCGACGGCUGCAUAGCUGCUUAAGCAGCGACUGAUGGCGCUUAAGGCUAUGUCGGCGGCUGGAAUCACGGUGGUUGGUGGCUGGAUUCGCCGGUGUUGAUGGCGAUGGUGGCAGGAGAUAAUAGUUUUGCAGGCUGGGUUCGCGGCGGUUGGUGGCGAUGGUUUUAUGGCAUCUGGCGGCUGUGGAGACGGUAUGCUGGUGUUGUGGUCGUCGGCUAUUUAGAGGUUGGGUCUAGAGAGAGAAAAAAAGAGAAGAGAGAUAAGGAGAGCUUUUGC
Molecule: long non-coding RNA, 16133 nt
Filed under: Capsicum annuum
Lineage: Eukaryota; Viridiplantae; Streptophyta; Magnoliopsida; Solanales; Solanaceae
Description: long non-coding RNA (CANN_LNC005498)
Source: RNAcentral